ACAAAAUGGCGGACGAAUCACGUUAAAAUUUCUGAAUCCACUUUAAGACGUUCUUCUAUUCGUUAGCUUGCCUCGUUUAUGGUAUUUUCCUGCCGUGUAUCAAACUAUAGCUGCUUGUGAUGGAAGAAAACAGAAGAAAAAAGAAAAGUUACUCUAAAGAGAGAAAGGAUUUCAAAGAAGAGGCUGCAACAUGUGCUGAGGAAGAAGAAGAAGUUAACGUUAAAAAAGUCAAAAAGAGAAAGUUGAAAGCCAAGGACGACGUGAAUACAGAAAGCGAGGACAUUAAAUACAAAGAGAAGAAGAAUAAGAAAGAAAAGAAUGGUCGUGUAUCAGAAAAUCUUACAAACAAAAUCAGUGAUGAAAGCCAGAGUAUUGAAGUUGAAGAGAAAAAGAAAAAGAGAAAAAGUAAGAAAGAAAAUAACAGUAUUGAGGAUCAGGACACUGAAAAUGAUAAUGGGAAGAAGAAACGGAAAGAAAAUCCUCUUGAUUCAGACACUGGGAUUGAAAAGAAAAAGAAACAAAAAUCUAAAAAAUUUAAGUCCAAAGAAGAUAAUGUUUUAUGUUUUGACACAGAAGAAGGUUUAAAAAAUAUUACAAUUGAUAAAAAUGGUGAAUUAGCUGAUGAUAUGGCAGAGAAAAUCAAGGCUAAAGAAGAAGAAAAAUCAAAGAAAGCAAAAAGAAAUGAGGAUGAACAUUUAUCAAAAAACGACGAGGCACUAGAAGAGGACGAAACUGCAGUUAAAAAGAAAAAGAAGGAAAAAAAGAAGAAAGAUGAGAUAAAAAGUGCUGAGACUGAAAACACUGAUGCUCCAGACAAGAAAAGUUCAGGCGAUGAAGCUUUGCUAUAUCUUAGAAUGUGGAACGAAGACCGCCCUAAUUGGGCUUUUAAGAAAGUUCGGCAAGUUUGGCUUUUAAAACACAUGUUUGAUAAGACCAAGGUUCCAGAUAGUGACUUUGAAGUGCUUCUGUUAUAUCUAGAAGGACUACAAGGAAAUGCUAGAAAGACAACCAUUACUAGAGCUGAGGCUGUACUUGAGUCAGGGUAUGACGAAGAGAAACCUGAAGGAUUUGACUUGGAAAGAGUUAGAAAACUCUUACAGAUUCUCAACUAAAUACCUGGUAAUUUUGCAUACUGUAACCAUUUCUCGCACAUUAUUUUACUUCAUGCAUACUCUGAUUGGUUGAUAGCUAUGCUGUAUUGUAAAGAGUUCAAAUUUUCUUACAGAUUCUCAACUAAAUACCUGCAUUUUGGAAAAGAUCUUGAGAUUCAGUUGGUGGAGCGGGAGCAGACACGUCAGUUACUUCGCCAGGCAC
Molecule: RNA transcript, 1314 nt
Organism: Actinia tenebrosa (Australian red waratah sea anemone)
Lineage: Eukaryota; Metazoa; Cnidaria; Anthozoa; Actiniaria; Actiniidae
Source: RefSeq, a predicted model, not a curated record